GGGUACCUACGGGGGGCAGCAGUGAGGAAUAUUGGUCAAUGGACGGAAGUCUGCACCAGCCAUGCCGCUUGCAGGAAGACGGCUCUAUGAGUUGUAAACUGCUUUUGUACAAGGGUAAACCUGAAUACGUGUAUUCAGCUGAAAGUACUGUACGAAUGAGGAUCGGCUAACUCCGUGCCAGCAGCCGCGGUAAUACGGAGGAUCCAAGCGUUAUCCGGAUUUAUUGGGUUUAAAGGGUGCGUAGGCGGAUUGAUAGGUUAGAGGUGAAAUGUCCGAGCUCAACUCGGGAACUGCCUCUAAUACUG
Molecule: ribosomal RNA, 305 nt
Filed under: uncultured bacterium
Lineage: Bacteria
Description: bacterial SSU rRNA
Rfam family: Bacterial small subunit ribosomal RNA
Source: RNAcentral